This 492-nucleotide ribosomal RNA is filed under the name uncultured bacterium. Its description in RNAcentral is "partial 16S ribosomal RNA". It matches the Rfam family "Bacterial small subunit ribosomal RNA", at positions 29 to 507 of the family's 1533-position model. The record is from RNAcentral.
AGUGAACGCUGGCGGUAGGCCUAACACAUGCAAGUCGAACGGCAGCACAGUAAGAGCUUGCUCUUACGGGUGGCGAGUGGCGGACGGGUGAGGAAUACAUCGGAAUCUACUUUUUCGUGGGGGAUAACGUAGGGAAACUUACGCUAAUACCGCAUACGACCUACGGGUGAAAGCAGGGGAUCUUCGGACCUUGCGCGAUUGAAUGAGCCGAUGUCGGAUUAGCUAGUUUGCGGGGUAAAGGCCCACCAAGGCGACGAUCCGUAGCUGGUAUGAGAGGAUGAUCAGCCACACUGGAACUGAGACACGGUCCAGACUCCUACGGGAGGCAGCAGUGGGGAAUAUUGGACAAUGGGCGCAAGCCUGAUCCAGCCAUACCGCGUGGGUGAAGAAGGCCUUCGGGUUGUAAAGCCCUUUUGUUGGGAAAGAAAAGCAGCAGGUUAAUACCCCGCUGUUCUGACGGUACCCAAAGAAUAAGCACCGGCUAACUUCGUG